CGCAGAUGUGAAUAACUGGGAGGAUUUUUAUGUAUAAUUAUAGCAUGAUACAGCUCCUGCGUACGUUUCAAGUUUGUUGCCCCAGAUACUGCAGUCACGUUAGAAAGUACCACAGAGCCUGCUGGCUUCGAGAGACCUUAUGUCACACAGAAGGGAGAAACUGGGCUCCUGUGUUUAGAAGAAUUUGUUAGGGUCCUGUCUGCCUUUCAGAUUUAGUACCCCAGUUAAAGAGUGUGUCCCUCUUGAGCUUUAUUCAGAAAAAGUAUCUUUAAGUUUACUUGAAACUCUUAAUAUUUGACU
This 300-nucleotide long non-coding RNA is filed under the name Bos taurus (domestic cattle). RNAcentral's name for it is "long non-coding RNA NONBTAT026037". The record is from RNAcentral. Lineage: Eukaryota; Metazoa; Chordata; Mammalia; Artiodactyla; Bovidae.